GAAUUCGCCCUUAGAGUUUGAUCCUGGCUCAGGAUGAACGCUGGCGGCGUGCCUAACACAUGCAAGUCGAACGGAGUUACGAGAGCUUGCUUUUGUAACUUAGUGGCGGACGGGUGAGUAAUGUAUGAGCAACCUGCCUUUCAGAGGGGGACAACAGUUGGAAACGACUGCUAAUACCGCAUAAUGUAUCCGGGCGGCAUCGCCUGGAUACCAAAGGAGCAAUCCGCUGAAAGAUGGGCUCAUAUCUGAUUAGUUAGUUGGUAGGGUAACGGCCUACCAAGACUGCGAUCAGUAGCCGGACUGAGAGGUUGAACGGCCACAUUGGGACUGAGAUACGGCCCAGACUCCUACGGGAGGCAGCAGUGGGGAAUAUUGGGCAAUGGGCGAAAGCCUGACCCAGCAACGCCGCGUGAAGGAAGAAGGUCUUCGGAUUGUAAACUUCUUUUAUAAGGGACGAAGAAAGUGACGGUACCUUAUGAAUAAGCCACGGCUAACUACGUGCCAGCAGCCGCGGUAAUACGUAGGUGGCAAGCGUUAUCCGGAUUUACUGGGUGUAAAGGGCGCGUAGGCGGGGAUGCAAGUCAGAUGUGAAAUCUAUGGGCUUAACCCAUAAACUGCACUUGAAACUGUUUUUCUUGAGUGCUGGAGAGGUAGACGGAAUUCCUUGUGUAGCGGUGAAAUGCGUAGAUAUAAGGGAGAACACCAGUGGCGAAGGCGGUCUACUGGACAGUAACUGACGCUGAGGCGCGAAAGCGUGGGGAGCAAACAGGAUUAGAUACCCUGGUAGUCCACGCAGUAAACGAUGAAUAUUAGCUGUUGGCGAUAUACAGUCAGCGGUAAAGCGAAAGUGUUAAGUAUUCCACCUGGGGAGUACGCCGGCAACGGUGAAACUCAAAGGAAUUGACGGGGGCCCGCACAAGCGGAGGAACAUGUGGUUUAAUUCGAUGAUACGCGAGGAACCUUACCCGGGCUUGAAAGUUAGUGACGAUCACUGAAAGGCGAUUUCCCUUCGGGGCACGAAACUAGGUGCUGCAUGGUUGUCGUCAGCUCGUGCCGUGAGGUGUCGGCUUAAGUGCCUUAACGAGCGCAACCCCUGUUGUUAGUUGCCAUCAGGUAAUGCUGGGAACUCUAACAAGACUGCUACUGUAAGGUAGAGGAGGGUGGGGAUGACGUCAAAUCAGCACGGCCCUUACGUCCGGGGCGACACACGUGUUACAAUGGGGGGUACAGAGGGUUGCUACCACGCGAGUGGAUGCUAAUCUCAUAAAACCUCUCUCAGUUCGGAUCGGAGUCUGCAACUCGACUCCGUGAAGCUGGAUUCGCUAGUAAUCGCGCAUCAGCCAUGGCGCGGUGAAUACGUUCCCGGGCCUUGCACUCACCGCCCGUCA
RNAcentral lists this ribosomal RNA (1388 nucleotides) under uncultured bacterium. RNAcentral's name for it is "partial 16S ribosomal RNA". It matches the Rfam family "Bacterial small subunit ribosomal RNA". The record is from RNAcentral.